Molecule: long non-coding RNA, 9338 nt
Organism: Pipistrellus kuhlii (Kuhl's pipistrelle)
Lineage: Eukaryota; Metazoa; Chordata; Mammalia; Chiroptera; Vespertilionidae
Exons: 2
Source: RefSeq, a predicted model, not a curated record
UGUACAAUUUUUGUCCAGUCUCUUCCUGCACCCCCAUAUCCCUUUCCCCGGAAAAUUAUCAGUUCAUUCCCUUUCUAUGCUCCUGAUUCUAUUAUAUUCACCAGUUUACUGGUCUAUUUUAGGACAAACCCCAACAUCUCAGCAUUUCCUGCAAAGUUUUUAAGGUUUUUGCUCUUGUCCGCCCUUUCCACCUUCUGUCCUGCCCUAUGCCUCUGCCUUCACCCUUCUUGGAUAAUCUGUACUUGCAGCUUCUUGACCUUGCUAUGCCUUUGCAAUUACUCACUUGCUCCUUUUCCCUCCCUUUUCAUGGCUAAUUCCUUCAGUUCCUUCAAGACUCAGCUCAGGCAUCUCAUCUUCUGCAAGUCUUCCUUGAGCCCUGAUGUCUCCAUAUGUGCCCUCUAUGGGUUGGGUUCCUCCAGCCCUUGAGCUACGCCUACUGUGUUGUGCUGUAAUUUUAAAUCCUCCACUGGGCUGGGACUUUCUUGAAGUUAGACACUAUUUUAUGUUUGUCUCAGUACUUGUCAUAUAUUAGGUACUGCAUACAUGUUUCUUAGAUUGAAAAUUAAGACCCACUAUUUUUUUCAACAUUUCUGUGAUGGUCUACGAAAAAUCAAGUUUUCUAAGCUUGCAUCCAGAAAUCAAAAAACGUGUUUCUUCCUUUUAAAUUUCAAUAAAAAAUAACAUUGAAAAUAUAUUUUCUUCCUUUUUUGAAAGAGGCAAACACAGUUGAAAUGCUAUCUUAUAGGGACUCAGGAAAGUGAGACUUUGAUGGAAGGCUGAGGAAGGAAUGGGGGGGGGGGGCGCUAAUGCUAAUUUUGUAACCUAUAUGCACCAGGCACCAUGUUAAACAUUCUUACUUCUUUUUGCUUUGUUUUUUUUAAUAACGAUUUUUUUACAGAGAGGAAGGGAGAGGGAUAGAGAGUUAGAAACAUCGAUGAGAGAGAAACAUCAACCAGCUGCCUCCUGCACAUCCCCUACUGGGGAUAUAUUGUACCUGCAACCAAGGUACAUGCUCUUGACCAGAAUCAAAUCUGGGACCCUUCAGUCCACAGGCCGACGCUCUAUCCACUGAGCCAAACUGGUUAGGACAACAUCUUAUUUCUUUACAGGUAAUCAUUCUCACAGCCAGGCUUCUAAGGUGGGUAUUAUUACCAUUAGAUUAACCAAGAAGAUGCUAAAGUUCAGGCAGAAUAAGAAAUUGGUUGAAGGCAACAUAACAGAACUUGUUAGGUCAGAAUUUAGAAAUAAAUUUCCCCAAACUACAUUAUACUCUGUCUCUGUAGAGAAAAUACUUGCUUUGAGGACUUCAGGUAAAAAAUAAAAGAAAAUGUCUUAUGGGAUACAGCAGAUCAUGGAGAGGGGGGAAAAAAGUACAUAUUUUUAUUUUUUGGCAUAGGAGAUGCUAUUAGACAUGUAAAGGCAAAUGAAUCCCAGAGUUAGUCAACUCUUACCUGGAGAGUCUCAUCUUAGGGGAAAGUAUUCAGCAAGUCCACAGUUAACUUGUGCCUCUCACCCAGGAAGUCUCUGCUAUGCCCACGCCUAAUCUCCCUUUUCUCCUUUCCCUCUUCAGAAAGGCUCAUGGAGCUUUGAGACCCAAAGAAAGGUAAUAUAUAUGUUCAGUAAUCCCAUAGAAGAAUUAAAUUUAAUAUGUUGCCUGGAUUUGACAUUCUAGAAGUUCUCUUUCUCUCCGGGAGAUCUUGAGUGGGCUGCAUCUCCAAUUGUAGUGAGGCCCUUUUGGCCAUUUAUUGUUUUAACCUUUUUCACGGUGCUCACCUAACCAACACCUAUGUGCUCACUACAUCAAUAAAUACUUGAACAUUGCAUGCGCCAUGGUCCUCGUACCAUAUUAACUUUUGUGGUAAUAUAUCUGUUCAUCAUAUCUAUUGCCUCUAGUAGCUGUCUAUAUCCCAGAUUUUCUUCUCUGGGGGGAAAGUGGAGAAAAUAAAAAAGCUUCCAAUAAUUUCCCAAUUAUCUGCUCCCUCUGUAGUCAUUUUCUCAUAGCUUUAUCUGUAUAGUUGCAAUAUUAUACUAUAAUGUUUCUUUUUAUAGAGCUGUUUUUACCUCUCAGAUGUGAGUUCCUUAAGGAAUGUUCCUCACUAAAUGUGAUGCAUGAAUGAAUGAAUAAAUGGAAAAAUAAAAGAAAAAAAACAUUCCUAAUGACCAGAUGAACCUGUUAAAAGAAAGUAGCAUUAUUUUUAGCUUUAGGGUUUUGUUUUUCAAUAGUAAACCUAAGGUUUCAUACCAAUUCAUUAUGCUCCCUAAUUUUCAUAAAAAUGAAUAACUUAUUUAACAGACAAUCAACUAGCAAAAAAGAGGUCGUUGCCAGUUGAGGUCUCUCCUGCCUGUCUCUUCAAUCAUUUGUUAUGCUCAUUGCAUGCCUAGUGCUGGAAGUUGAACAUCAGCAUGUGCUCAUCUGGGGGUUUCUACUCCCAAUUCUCCAUCCUCCUCCAACUGUAAUACAACUUGCUAGCAAUAAGAAUGCCUUGAGUAUAUUUCCUAAAGAAAUCCUCUAUGUAUAUGUUUUUAAUAGGGUGUAUUUUAGGCAAUAAAAUAAAUAAAUAACAAAAAGUAAUCUAAUUGUUUAGCUGCCGUGCUUGAAAAUAACUAGAUAAAGCCUCUCUUGUGGAACGGAAAAAUAACAGCAGGGAUUUCCAUUACCUUGAAGUGUCUUGGUAAAUAGGGAUGCCUGCCAAAGGCUAUCUGAAGGAUGAUUGGUAGAUGGAUUGACAGAUGAGGAACGAAUAGAUGGCUUAAACAAAUAGAUAGGAGCAGUCACAUUAAGGAGGUGCAUGAGUGUAUAGAUGGAAUAAGGGUUCGAUAAAUGGGGGGCAUAAUCUGUGAAUGAAUAGGUGAGUGGUUAGCUGAUGGAGAAGUAAAUUGGUACAUUGAUGAUUGAUUGAGCUAAGUGGCCAGAUGGAGUGAAAGACCAGUAAAUGUCUGUGCCAGCAGGAGAACAGACAGAUGGGUAAACAUUUCAACGUGUAUGAGCAGAAGCAGGAGAGGGUCAGGUGUGGAUGGGAAGAGGAUGAUUAAGAGGAAUCAUAAAAUGAAGAUAGGAGAAGAAGCACUAAAGGCAUUAAGAUGGUUAAAGGGCUUGAAAAUGUAUUUGUUUGACAAGUCAUGAUUUUACAAUGAGCAUGAGGAAAUUGGAAAGGCAUCCAUCAGUACCUACCAUUUCCUUGGUAUUUUAAUUUUCAAAGAAUAUGACCUAGUUUAUCACAUUAUCUGUGCUCCAUUCCCUGUGAAGGAGACAAAGUCAGGAAAAGUCAGGGAGGAGCCCUUGUCUACCUAGAAAGCCAGGAAAAAACAAGCCUCAGGACUCUAACUCUUGGCCAGAGGUGCUAGCCAUGCUGUAAUAUCAACAGGAGAAUCUUAACCCUUUUCCUGCUAAACUCACAAGCCAUAAACAGACAUUGGUUUUAAGCAUUAUUUAAGCAAGUCUUGAGAAAUCCAGUGGUUGAUAGAGGAACCAAAAUUGCCAGAGUUGUGAACUAAAACAAGCUGUGAGGAGCAAAUUUGCAAAUAGUACAGAUAAGGAAACAAACACUAGGAAGGCCAAAUGCCAGUCAAUGUCAGGUAUGUAGUUACUGGCAGAAAUAGGAAGGGCUAGUUGAUAGAGAAGCUGAGUGUACAAGAGGGUUUAUAUCCAUCCCUUCAGAAAGUCAGAUAUGUGUGUAAUGAAGGCAGAGGAGUUAGAGUAUUAAUGAAAAAGAUGUUUUAGAGAAGGCAAUCAGAGGGAUGCAGCUUCUUUCCCAGUUCUCCUUUUCAUGCUGUUACCCAUGAGUAUACUAUUGUAAAACCAAAUAUGUAGAACAAUAAAAGUAGCAUAUAUGUCUAUGAACAAAUGGACAAUCAGAGUCACCAUAUAUUCUCAUACUCAUCCUUGUCACAGUUGAGUGGAAUCAAACAGCAGAAAUGAUUAAGGAAUAGAGUGACCAAACUGAGGAGUACCUGGCCAUUAUAUUUCUGAAACUUCUCUUCUGAUUCCAUGAAGCCUUGGUCAAUAAAUACAUAUUGUAGGCUUUGGGGCUAUAGGUAUAUCUAAUAGUAUUUGUAAAUGGCAUAGAUAUUAGAGAUACAGGUAUACUAGAGAAAGUGCUUAGACUGCCUUCCAUGCUGUAUGUGUGUGAAUGCUUGGGGUGAGAGGAGAGAGAGAGAGAGAGAGAGAGAGAGAGAGAGAGAGAGAGAGAGAGAGAGAGAACUUGCAUGCCUGAUUGUGUCUACUCCCCGAAGCCUAAAUCACAUACAUGGGGGUAACAUCGUCAGCUUCACUUUUCUCCAUUCCUGAGUGCUCAAUAAUAUAGCCUAAUAACAAGCCCCCCCAAAUUACAAAUUUCUUCGAAUUUUAUUGAUACACUGCACAAUCACAACCAUUUCGUGUGUUCAUCCUGAAUUAGAAAAGGUUACAACUACAAUGUAACAUGCACAAAAUUCAGGUAGUAUAUUCACCCUUAAUACAAUUAUUGACAGAAAUCAAGACUUCAUUGAUUUUUAAGGAAAAAAAUGGGGAAGAAAAUUAUAGAAGAAGAAAAAAAAGAACUCUAGAAAGCUGACAAAGUUAUACUCUUGUAUCAUGUGAUAAACUUUUAAAGCAUUUGAACAUAGAUUUGCUUUAAGGAUAAUCAUGAGAAUGGGCACACCCAUUGUCUGACAUAGCUAUAACGGCACUAUUGAUAAGUCAUAAUUUUUCUUUUUAAUCUAGGGGACUCUGAACUCGACAGAAACAUUUUUGUACACGCACACAUUCCGCACAAUUGCACUGUACAUGUCACAAAAGUUUUUGAAGGAUUAAAAACGCUCCCUCUAACUAACACGAGGGCAGCUAUUAUUACUUAUCAUUGCUAUUAUCGAUGUCCUUAUAGAUCUGCCAGCAGCAGAGAGUGUGGCCAAGAAAGAGUAGGAAGGUUCACAAUCUUUCUUCCUGCACUCAGUAGUGUGGAACAACUGUGUGCCUUCCAAAGGGCACAUUUGAAAGACACAAAAAAGGAAUCUCUCAAAAUGCGGGAAAUUAGGUUUGGCUGACUACUUUCAAGUUGAAGACAAUUGGGCCUAAUUGAGUCCACUCCACAUUCCUUUGGACUCCCAGAAUUCUGCACCUGAAGGCUAAAUUGCACUCGUUCAGCUCUUUUUGCCAUUUUUUAAAAAAUUGCAAAUCUUUUUUUCCCCCUUUCAUUUACUUCUCUUCUCUUAAGUAAGAAAUGAGGGAAAUGAGACUGGCAUUUUUUAUUUGUUUACUUUUAGCGAUCAUUAGGCAUUCUCAUCAUAUGGUAUAUUUUUUGAAAAUGAUGCCUUCCUAGUUACACACCUGUGAAGUUUUAUUGCAACUGCUCAAAUGUAUUUGUCUUAAAAGAAAGACACAGGGAAACUUUGGAUAAUACCACGGGGAGGCAAGUGGGUAAAAGCAUUUCUAGAUAUAGGUCUUGUGCAAAAUGAAGAUUCUCCUUAUUGGACAAAAAAAAUUUUUAAAUGCAUUUUUUCAGGAAGGAACAUUUUUUCUAUUUCUAAAGAGAUUAAACUUUUCUCUUUAAAAAAAUAAAAAUUUGUGGGUCAUUUUCUUUGGGGGAGGGGAGAAUGGAGGGUUGGUUCCAGGUACUGCAAAGCCACUGUUCCUCUGGUUAAGACAGAGUGAAAUUGGGAAGGAUUUCCUCACCCCAUAUCUCUCCUCAUCUUGAGCCAUUUCUCGCAUCCUUCUACUGAUGGGCUGAUGCCACUCAUACACCACUACAGAGAAGACAAGCUUAGUGGCAUUAAAAGCACCGACCAAAACCAGGUUAUUCAAGUCACAGCCACUCCUGAUGCAGUGACAGCAAUACACUCUCUUCAGAUCCACUGCCCACCUUGAGGUUCUCUACACUUUUCAGGAAAGAGUUCUUUUGUCAUAAGUAGAACUUGCUAAUUCUUCCAUGUUGAGUGCAAGGCAACUGGGUUGAUCAGAAACAGAUUCUUAACUUCAUCCUUGGUUAUAGAGUUUCUAGGGUUCCAGAGCACACUUUCCACCCAGGUCUUGAGAACUCACUGCCCAAUCUUGGAAAGAUACCUUCUAGUAUGAGGCACUGGUUUCAAAUGAAAGAGGCCCAGACCUCUUUUUCAUACAAAGCCUUACCUUUCCUUCUAUUUAGCUGAGCACAAUUGCAGAAGAACAAUCAUGCACAGUGCAAUCCUUGCAUAAAGCAUAUACAUGUUUCACCACCAUUCUCCUGUAUGUUUCCUCUCCCCCAGUUAAAGCACAAAUGAGAAAAACUAAAAGCACUUGCUUAGACUUGCACAUGACUAUAUCAGGCACUUGACAUUAAACUUCUGAGAAAACAAGCUUGACCAGAAUCUUAACACUAGCACUUUCAUUGGCAUUACUUUGGUGGAAGUCCAUUUCAACUGUAUCUGGGGAAAGGGGCAUGGUUUCAGAGUAACUGCAUUGCUGAAUUCCUCUCACCUACUCUCCGGAUAAGCAUUACUUCCCAGAGAAAACCUGCAAAGAACCAUAGGCUGCUCAGAGACUUGUUUGCUUUACCUCCUUUACCCCUUCUCCAUCCCCACCAUGGACACCUUGAAAAAAUAUAUAUUCAGCAGGCUUUAUCCAUCUACCCUCCAAAUGUAAAGUUGAAAGAUCACGUGCACCUGUGGAUAUGGUCUUAACUGAGCAUUUGCUGUCCAGUAUGCUUCAAACUGUUGGGGAAGACCUACUGUCAUAUAGAGCCAUCCCCACCAAAGUAACCCAAACACAGAAUCUGGGGGACAUCUGUUGUGAGGAAGAGCAAUUUUCUUUCCCAGUGCCAAUUUUCCUGGGGUCUUAUUUACUUUUUUUUUUUUUUUUAAUCCCGGAUAGAUGAGGAUUGGCUGUAGGCUGUUCCCGCUCUGAAAUGUGGCUGAAACAGGCAACUACCAGAGGUGCUUCCUGGUGUCCAGAGGAAGAGGGCAAUGUGAAGUUUCUUUGUGACUCUGAGGCCCAGCUUUGCCCUGUUCAGAAGGUUCUGGUGGUCUUCAUGGCCCAAGGAGGGUGGGCCCCUUCCUCUAGGAUGCAUCUAGGACCGAAGGAUAUGUACAGCUUGUCUGUUUCAAGACCUGUUCUUCAAAACCACCAACUCUCCACAGCCUCUACAUUUAUUUUAUUCCCAAGUAUCAAAUUGAUGGUCAGUAGACCACUCUAAUGACACAUUUAAUUCUCAUCCAACGUCUGACACCAACCCGACUCCAGGUGUUCAGUGUGGUGACAGAUAUGAAACACUGCUGUAGGACUUUUAAUUAUGACUUUAUGUCUGCUCAUGAUUGUCCCUGGAACUUGGAAUCAAUACACUGCUUUUGGCACAUCAUUUAUGUUCCCAGAAUCUGGCUCCUGGUGGCUUGCUAGGAAAUGCAGAUGUCUGUUUACAGCUGGCAAAUGUAAUAUUAAUUUCACUCGCACAAGCUCUAACUCUUAUGAAAGUGCCUAAGUUUUUGUAUGCCAAGGCAAAAAGGUUUGUAUUUUAUAUAUGCACGUGGCCACACACAUAUUUAUUAUAUAUUUUGCUGAAAGAGGUUCCCAGUUGAGUCAGGGUAGGUGUGUGAGAUAGUCAUUGUGGAUGCUUCUUUUUCACCCUCUCCAUAAGAAAGUCCCUGCAGCAGAGGUGAAGGGAAGCACAGCCUUGUGUGGUUUUCAAUGCCAUUCUCCUAGAUCACAGGAUCCUCACUUGUCCCAGGAGAUAAUGUAGAAAGAUCAGAUCAGCUCCUGUUUAUAUGCUAGGGCUGCUUUGAGCUGAAGAGCUGAGGAUAUUCAGCCCCAGAGCUGGUGGAGCAACAGCCUAUAGCAGAGGAAAUUGUGAGUCACUUCCACUUUCCCCAUUUGCAGUGUUGUGUUAAUCACGUGCUUAGAAAUUAAGUCGAUUGCUCAAGUGCCCUCCUCAGCCCAGAAGAGCUUUCUGAUACAAACAUCAGAGUUGUCAACACACCCACCAUGUAAUUGGCCUCAUUGGCUUUUUACUGGAUAGUUUUCAAACAGAUUCAACUAAAACUGGAGCAGAGAGAAGACAGUGGCUGAAGUCAUCGCACUCAGACAGGUGUGUUUGUUUUCUUCUUUGCUCUUGUUAUUAAGAGAAGCCAGCCUUGGGGUAAAUCCUAUAGAUUCCUGACAUACACACUCUUGAAAGGAGGAGAGAAGCAGGAAGGUUGGCAUGUUGGCCCUUCAAGUGAGAAAAAAAGAAAAAUACGCAGCAAUCAAGGCUUCUCCAGGGUCAGCUGACUUCCCAAGAAGGUGGUUGUGGAAACACAGUCUCUUCUGGGAAUAGUGAGUGAAUGAUCAUUAGAAUUCUACUUUGGUCCAUCCAUUAACAGCAUCUAUGUUGGGUGGAUGGGAUAUCACAUUCCAAAAAGUCCAUGACAUAUUGCUUUUCUAUGUUGAUAGCCUGUGAGAUCAUUGGCUUUCACAUAAGAAGCUGAUAGGUAAUUUUGAAGAUGCCAAUGUCUGCUGAAGGUAGAGGAGAAAUGAAUACAAUUGAAAAGACACAAUAUGAUUAGACAUUAAUGAGGUGAUGAAUUGAGCGUGAGCAGUGAGGAAAGAAAUAGAAAGAAGUGUUAGAAAAUUACAUUGAUGGAUUGACAAAUAGAAUAAAUAGGUUACUAGAGAGAAAGAUGGGUGGAUAGAUAAUUGAAUGGAGAGGAAAAUCAGACAAUUGAGUAGAUGGAUAACUGUAUGAUUACUUUGAUAGAUAGCUUGAUAAACCUAAACAAUCAGCCAUCUAUGAAUCAUUUUGUAUGAGCUGAACAGCAUUUUUUAAGGGAAAUACUAUCCUCAAAAUGUCUACCCCCUUUUUGGUCAUUUGACUUCUAAAUUUUUAGUAUGGGGUAGUGUGAAUAGCUUCAAAGGUCUAAUCCCUGUAGCUGGUGAGAAAUGCAUAUAGAGCAGAGUACCUAGAGAAGAUGCAAGAUUUUAUACAUAUAUGUAUAUAUAGAUAUGAGUAUCUUGAGAUAACUUCCCAGAGAGAAAGCAUGUGAACCCUAAUGUAUUUAGAUAAUAAUAAACAUGGAGAAAGGGAUAUGUACAAUGUAAUCAGGAAAACGGUCCAAAGCUUAAAAGACACAGAUAAUAGGACACUUGGAUACAAUUCUUGCUGUGCACUACAUUAUAAGUCAAGUUGUGUCUUCAUGGUGUUUAUCAUGAGGCACAGUUUUGCCCAAAUGGAGCUCAUGUUUUGGUAUGUGGGACAGGAGAGGUUGGUGGUGGCGAUGAUGAUGGGGAGGGAAGCAGAGGAAAGGGAAGAGCCCAGGGAGCAGGAACAGAUUCCACUUUUGGACACACCAAUGAAUGAUUAGCCUAAACAUGGUAGAACCCUGCCCUCCCCUCCCCCAACCCCACUUGUUGAAACUGG